GGGGUUGUCAGGUUUCGACAGCGAGUGCGAUUGGUAGGUAAGCAUACCGAGUGUUGUGAAUAUGGCUCGUAAAUCCUAAUUCUCAAAAUCUAUAAAUGGCGAGUCUAACUACGCCCUUGCUGCUUAAUACUAGGUAUUAACUAGCAAUGUUGCCCGAGAAGCUUCGCUUCACAGCGUUUCGGUAGCAGCAUCACAAAUGUGAAGCUAGUUGGUGCAAGCUUCGAUGCAUCAAUUAAAUAAAGAAGAUAAGCUUGCAGUUGGUGUGUGAUUUUGCCUGCUGCUCGACGAAAAUCAAAAAGUCACUAAGUAUGUAGAAGGCUUAUUGAUUCCUUGUUUGGACGAGGGUUCGAUUCCCUCCAACUCCACAA
This 368-nucleotide transfer-messenger RNA is filed under the name Bacteroidia. RNAcentral describes it as "UBA4408 sp016718805 Standard tmRNA". It matches the Rfam family "transfer-messenger RNA". Rfam says of the family: Bacterial tmRNA, also known as 10Sa RNA or SsrA, is named for its dual tRNA and mRNA-like properties. Its role is to liberate the mRNA from a stalled ribosome. RNAcentral also lists the same sequence under 1 other name. The record is from RNAcentral. Lineage: Bacteria; Pseudomonadati; Bacteroidota.